AACUAAGAAGCGAUAAUUUGCAUCAAGUUUCGGCCUUGACUUAGGUGAUAAUCACCCUUAGUUU
RNAcentral lists this transfer RNA (64 nucleotides) under Alpheus digitalis. Its description in RNAcentral is "tRNA-Arg". Lineage: Eukaryota; Metazoa; Arthropoda; Malacostraca; Decapoda; Alpheidae. The record is from RNAcentral. RNAcentral also lists the same sequence under 2 other names.